UUUGUUCUAUGGGUGGGUGGGGGGAGCUUGGAGCUGUCUUAAUCUGUAUUCUCUUGACUGAACAAUAAAUUUUUAAAUAUAUCUAGUUUCCUCUAUUAAACACUUAAACCUGGCCAUCUUAUUAACUCCUUCUCUCUUUUUAACAAGGUAAUGUUUUAAAUGUAUAUAGCUUUAGGACUAGCGAAAUGGCAGCAACAAAAAAUUGUGAGCAGUUGUUACUCUUUUAGUUUUUAAAAAACCUUUUACAUUGUAAGUACCCAAUCCAUUCUGUCCUGACGCAGUACAGUUUUGAUGUUAAUGUUGCUGAGAUGUCCUUAAUUUUCCGAACCUUCAUCUGCAUGUAUGUCUUUGUCUCUCUUGUCUAAUAUAAGCCAGUUAAGAUGCUUGAGACGAUCUUGCUUUAUAAAGCUAAGGUUCUAGCUUUAUGCUUUUGAAAAUGUUUACAGCACUAAAUGCUAGUCAGCUUUCUUCCCCGUAGCUUGUACACUUUCUUUGAAAAUCGAUCUAUUUGAAGAAAAACAGCCCUGUUUUUCUCGUCUUUGGUGUUGGGGGUUGGGGGGAGCUGGUGGGUGAGGGAAAGGAAGACCUUUUCUUUGUGUAGAGAGACUAAAGCCGUCACAGGAAACUAGAUUAAAACUGGAAAACAAGUCCUAGCUGGUUCCAGCAAACACCAACGUUAAGUGGGGGGUAUUUUCUAUGGUGGUUGGGCGGCUGGUGCGUCUUGUGCCUUUUGUUUGAUUUGACUGUAUUUUCGCCUUUUGUCUCUUAAUGACGAUCACACCAUUGCUAUAUCCAGAGCAGUAAACAGUCCUCAGCGAAGCCGCCUUUUUGCCUACCCAACCCUGGAAAGUUUGCAGAAGUGGAAGGAGCAGAACGUGAGGGUGUAACUUACAAAAAGGUUCUGGGCCGGAGAAGGGGCGACGUUCGGGCACCCCCCGAAUGGACAAUCUUUCCUUCUGUCAACGGCAGGGGCAGGCCUAGUUUGACUCUGACAGUCCUCCCACUAAGCUUCUGUUGUCAGGCAUUUGGGGCGUGUAAGUCUCUGCCGAAUAUAGCAGCAUACGAGAGGAUCCACUUGCAAGUAUUUCCCAGUUGUGUGUUCUUCGGCGGGGGGAGGGCCCUGGGUGCCGCCUACUUCUGAAAGACACAGGUCACUGUCAGAAAGCCCAACUGUGCUGUGGCCUUCCCUCCAGCCGCCCCCGUGGGGCAUGUGGGGUGACAGUGUGAGCCGUCCUCUGAUGUCUGGCUGCUAGAGAGGCAAAGAACAGAGACCCGAGGUUCC
Molecule: long non-coding RNA, 1282 nt
Filed under: Homo sapiens (human)
Lineage: Eukaryota; Metazoa; Chordata; Mammalia; Primates; Hominidae
Description: long intergenic non-protein coding RNA 1089
Source: RNAcentral